RNAcentral lists this long non-coding RNA (200 nucleotides) under Gossypium raimondii (Peruvian cotton). RNAcentral's name for it is "long non-coding RNA (GRAI_LNC004595)". The record is from RNAcentral. Lineage: Eukaryota; Viridiplantae; Streptophyta; Magnoliopsida; Malvales; Malvaceae.
AUGCACGACUAAAUCGCAUCUAGACUCGCCGAGACACAAUGGGAGAUCAAAUCUCAAACAUCCUUGUCAUACUACAAAGUGGACAUUUCCAACACCCUCCACCAAAUUAAACAUAUACGGAGAAUACACUUUACCCUUCUCUUUGUUAUCCUUUGAAAUUGCACAUUGAGGGCAAUGUAGGCUAAGUAGGGGGGACAUGC